CGCCUGUUUUUACAAAAACAUGUCCUCUUGAGUAUAAUUUGAGGUCUGACCUGCUCACUGACAAGGUUUUAAAGAGCCGCGGUAUUUUGACCGUGCAAAGGUAGCAUAAUCAUUAGUCUCUUAAUUAGAGGCUGGAAUGAAUGGUUUGACGAGAAAUCAACUGUCUCUUAAUAAUUUUUAAAAUUUAACUUUUAAGUCAAAAGGCUUAAAUUUUUCUUUAGGACGAGAAGACCCUAUAGAGCUUGACAUUUUAUUUUUAUAUAGUUUUUAGCUAGUUUUUCUAUAUUUAAUGAUAAUGUUUUGUUGGGGUGACAUGAAGAAUAAAUAAACUCUUCAUUAUAAAAUCAUUGAUUUAUGUUUAUCAUGAUCCAUAAUUUAUGAUCAUAAGAUUAAGUUACCUUAGGGAUAACAGCGUAAUUGUUUUUGAGAGCUCAUAUUGACAAAACAGAUUGCGACCUCGAUGUUGGAUUAAGAAAAAUUUUGGGUGCAGGAGCUCAAUAAUUAGGUCUGUCGACUAUC
Molecule: ribosomal RNA, 519 nt
Filed under: Calliptamus italicus (Italian locust)
Lineage: Eukaryota; Metazoa; Arthropoda; Insecta; Orthoptera; Acrididae
Description: partial 16S ribosomal RNA
Rfam family: Archaeal large subunit ribosomal RNA
Source: RNAcentral